UCUUUCCGCACACACAAAAUGCAUCAUUCAAUAAUUGGUUAUUGAAAAAAGUUCUUCACUCCUUGUAAAUUUUAUCUGCACACAAACAUUUAUAAAGUGCCAUUUACAGAAUCUCACAAAUUCAACGUAGUUUAGCGUUUUUUACGUGGUAGUUAAUAUUAGUGAUUAAGAAAUCUGUAUUUUAUCAACGCAGCUUUUGUUUUCAGGACUUUAAUUUUGGAGAGGAUGUGUGACGUCAUAAGGUUGCGCCGCGCUCCCGCAUUAUGUUGUGAUUCGGCAGAAGAAAGAAUGAUUCACUGUAUCGACUCGAUCGAAUCACCUCAAACACGGACGACUCCUGCAGGUCAAACAGUUUAAACAACGAGAACAACAAACACAAACAAGAUGAAGUGUUCAUAAACUGAGGAAAAACUCCUGGUGAAGCGACUGAGAGCCACGUGACGCUAUUAUAAAGAUGGCAUUUAUUAAAGAGGAGAGCAAAGACAUAAAGAUGGCGUUUAUUAAAGAGGAGAGUGAAGACAUAAAGAUGGCGUUUA
Molecule: non-coding RNA, 536 nt
Organism: Pimephales promelas (fathead minnow)
Lineage: Eukaryota; Metazoa; Chordata; Actinopteri; Cypriniformes; Leuciscidae
Source: RefSeq, a predicted model, not a curated record